Hipposideros armiger (great roundleaf bat) is the source of this 555-nucleotide long non-coding RNA. RefSeq lists it as uncharacterized. The record is from RefSeq and is a predicted model, not a curated record. The transcript is spliced from 3 exons. NCBI's taxonomy places the organism in Eukaryota, Metazoa, Chordata, Mammalia, Chiroptera, Hipposideridae.
CCAGGGCUUCUGAAGCUGCAUGUUCUCACAUUAAAUUCCAGUUCCUCUAACUCUCAGAUGAGAACUUAGUCCUCUUUUCAUUGAUCAGACAGAGGGGACUACUUAUGAUACUCAAAUUUUAACCCGACCUGGAGCAAGCACUGGUCUCCCAUUCAGGAGAUGAGAAGAAGAAGAAGAUGAUGCCCGGGAACAUGACACCACAUUCUCCAAUGACCAGCAAGAAGACAGAGGCUCCAUCAGCCUUGGAUGUCCACAGCUGGGAGCAGACACCAUCAGUCGCGAGGUGGGGAGCCAUGUCUUUCUCCCUGAGCCACAGUCAUCUAGCUGCACGGCUGCACUGAAAGGAUUCCAGCCAAGAGCACCAUCAUGGGCUGAACUGUGUCCCCCCAAAUGCAUAUGUUGAAGUCCUAACCUCGUAUCUCAGUAUGUGACCAUAUUAGGAGAUUCAGCCUUUAAUGAGGUGAUUACCUUAAUACAAGGUCAUAAGUCUGGGGACCUAACUGAAUCUGACUGGUGUCCUUAUAAGAAGAGACACCGGAAGUGUGUCAACACAGA